AUAAAAUUUUUAUGUUUUAAAAAAUUUAUUAUAAAUUUAUUUUACAUAUAAAUUUUAGUAUAUAAUUUUAAUUAUUUUAAUAAUAAUUAUUAAAAAUUAUAGUAAUUAAAAUUAAAAAUUUAAGAAAUUGAGAUUUAGUAAUAUAUAAAUUAAUAACUAAUUUUGUGCCAGCAGUUGCGGUUACACAAAAAUUAAAUUAAAUUAUUUCAGUAUUUAAUUAAUAAGAUAUAAUUAAAAUAAAUAUUAAAUUAUUAGGUAAAAUUUUAAUUUAAUUAAAUUUUAAGUUAAUUUUAUGAUUUGGGAAAUUUAAAAAUAAACUAGGAUUAGAUACCCUAUUAUUAAAAAAUUUAAUUUGUAAUACUAAAAUAGUAGAUAAAAAAUAUUGAAACUUAAAUAAUAUGGCGGUAUUUUAGUUCAUUUAGAGGAAUCUGUCUAAUAAUUGAUAGUCCACGAAUAAAUUUACUUAAUUUAGGAUUUUAUAUAUCGUUGUUAAAAAAAUAUUUUAUAAUAAAAAUAAUAUUUAAAAAUUUUUAAAAUAAAUUAAUUCAGAUCAAGAUAUAGAUUAUAAUUAAGAAUAUGAUGGAUUACAAUAAAUUAAUUUAAAUGAAAAAUUGAUUUUAAGAUUAAUUUGAAGGUGGAUUUAAAUGUAAUUUUAAUUAGUUUAUUAAAAUGAUUAAAAAUUAAAGUAUGUACAUAUUGCCCGUCACUUUCAUUUAAAAAUUGAAAUAAGUCGUAACAAAGUAGAGGUACUGGAAAGUGUUUCUAGAAUGAA
RNAcentral lists this non-coding RNA (772 nucleotides) under Ninguta schrenckii. Lineage: Eukaryota; Metazoa; Arthropoda; Insecta; Lepidoptera; Nymphalidae. The record is from RNAcentral.